CAUUUUAUUUGAUCACCAGUCGGAAGCAGUGACAACUACGUGAUGAUCAUUUUCCUUUGGCCGGCCUGAAGUGCGUUGGCGUUGAGCUAAUGUCAGCAGACAUCACCCGGUACUUGCGCGCUAUUUGCACAGUUUGAAGCCAGGUUGAUUUGCGCUGAAACGUGAGCGCGUUGAAAUAAUCACAAAGCGUAUCCUGGUUGGGAAACCCUGUAUCCGACACGUGUUCACGGAAUAUGUCAGCUCUGCAGCAGCAUGGGUAAAUAUUAAAUGUUCGCUGGGUAAAAUGUAAGGAAACCUGUG
Pelobates cultripes (western spadefoot toad) is the source of this 300-nucleotide non-coding RNA. The record is from the annotation of a GenBank genome assembly. NCBI's taxonomy places the organism in Eukaryota, Metazoa, Chordata, Amphibia, Anura, Pelobatidae.